Haliotis rubra (blacklip abalone) is the source of this 262-nucleotide long non-coding RNA. RefSeq lists it as uncharacterized. The transcript is spliced from 3 exons. NCBI's taxonomy places the organism in Eukaryota, Metazoa, Mollusca, Gastropoda, Lepetellida, Haliotidae. The record is from RefSeq and is a predicted model, not a curated record.
UUAUGUCAGUACGAGAGAGAGUUCUUUAUUUCUGAACUGUAGGCCAGAGGCCCAUAGUACAAGUAAAAAACAGUCACAAUGGGUGUGUGGUACAAGCGCGUUUGCGUUUUAACAGUGCAUGGUUUAUAAACGUAGCAAUAUUCUGAAGUAGCUGUACAUUUUCUGUUGACAUUAGUAUGCUGAAUUUGUAAGAUGUGGGACAGGAUGUGUACUUAGAUGGUAUAUAAUACUUUCUUAUGUCUUCAUACUGUGGACAGAUGAG